This 554-nucleotide ribosomal RNA is filed under the name Trigonopterus schulzi. RNAcentral describes it as "partial 16S ribosomal RNA". The record is from RNAcentral. Lineage: Eukaryota; Metazoa; Arthropoda; Insecta; Coleoptera; Curculionidae.
CCGACCUGGCUUACACCGGUUUAAACUCAGAUCAUGUAAAACUUUAAAAGUCGAACAGACUUAACUAAUUAGCUUCUACACCAAUAGUAAAUUUUAAUCCAACAUCGAGGUCGCAAACUUUCUUUUUGAUAAGAACUCUAAAGAAAAUCACGCUGUUAUCCCUAAGGUAAUUUAAUCUUUUUCUCCAAAUUUUAGGAUCAUUCACUCACAAAUAAAUGUAUAGAUUUAAAAAAAGUUUCUUUAAUUUUUUCAUCACCCCAACACAAUACUUUAUAAACAGUUUAAUUCUUAAUCCCAUAAACAUUAAAUUGUUUUAAAAAUAUAAAACUCUAUAGGGUCUUCUCGUCUUCUAUAUACAUUUAAGCUUUUUCACUUAAAAAUAAAAUUUUAAUUAAUCUUUCCAGAGACAGAAAUCUUCUCAUCAAACCUUUCAUUCCAGCUUUCAAUUAAAAAACUAUUGAUUAUGCUACCUUUGCACGGUCAAAAUACCGCGGCCAUUUAACUUACUCAUAGAGCAGGUCAGACUUGAAAUUAUUAUCAACAAGCCAUGUUUU